UAAUACGGGAGGCGCAAACGUUGCUCGGUAUCAUUGGGCUUAAAGCGCGCGUAGGCGGUUCGGUGGGUGCUGGGUGAAAGCCCCCGGCUUAACCGGGGAACCGCUCGGCAAACUGCCGGACUUGAGGAUCGGAGGGGGAAGCAGAACUCUGGGUGUAGCGGUGAAAUGCGGAGAUAUCCAGGGGAAUGCCGGCGGCGAAGGCGGCUUCCUGGCCGACUCCUGACGCUGCAGCGCGAAAGCUAGGGGAGCGAACGGGAUUAGAUACCCCGGUAGUCCUAGCCGUAAACUAUGGGCACUAGGUAGAGGAGCUUCCGAUGGCAUCUCUGCCGAAGCGCAAGCGAUAAGUGCCCCGCCUGGGGAGUACGGUCGCAAGGCUA
Molecule: ribosomal RNA, 377 nt
Filed under: uncultured bacterium
Lineage: Bacteria
Description: bacterial SSU rRNA
Rfam family: Bacterial small subunit ribosomal RNA
Source: RNAcentral